Pogona vitticeps (central bearded dragon) is the source of this 254-nucleotide non-coding RNA. Lineage: Eukaryota; Metazoa; Chordata; Lepidosauria; Squamata; Agamidae. The record is from RefSeq and is a predicted model, not a curated record.
UGGAGAACCUCAGCCGAGAGAUCACACACACAUACACACAAUUCACCAUUCUACUUGAAGCCAAAAUGUAAACAGACAAGGUAUAUCCCACCAUUUAAUAAUCUAAAGAAGAAGAGAGAGAAAACCUAUAGGUCCAAGAAACACAACAUCCAAUGACAGAUGAUUUGCACUGGAGACUAACACAACCAACACGAUGAGUAAACAGGUAGCCAGUGCUACUCACCACAACAAACAACAACAAGCUGGUUUGCAAG